Phascolarctos cinereus (koala) is the source of this 520-nucleotide long non-coding RNA. RefSeq lists it as uncharacterized. Lineage: Eukaryota; Metazoa; Chordata; Mammalia; Diprotodontia; Phascolarctidae. The record is from RefSeq and is a predicted model, not a curated record.
AAUAUAGAUCCCCAACCACUGACCAAACUCCACUCCAAGCAGCCACCUCCACUGGGGCUGGCCUGACUUGGCCACUUCUUUCAGUUCCCUGGAACCCCAAAGAGAUCAGCCUCUUCUGGACUGCCCCCUACCUUUGCCUUUCCCUUGAUCAUGAGGGAUUCCCUUUGGCCCACUAAAGCCUGCAGCCUCUUUCUUGGAACUACAGCUGGGUUACAUUCACUGGCAACCACAGGCAAGAGACAAGGUGAAGUUUCACCUCCUCCAUGAAGCCUUCUCUGAUCCUAUUCCUCUUCUCUGCUAGUCCAGGUGUGAAGAGCACAGCCCAACCGAUUGGAGGAUGCCCACACCAUCUGGCAAGGAACAAAGAGAGGGAGCGUUGGAGGUUCACCAGUGCACUGGGGUCAUUGUCCACUCCACCCCCAUCCCAGACCCUGAGCUCGAUGGAAGUCUGGGGAGGGGUUAUGAGAAGAGCUGGGAGUGGAGAGUGAGAUUAAAUAAAUGCUGAACGAUUGAAGAAAUU